UGGGGAAUUUUGGACAAUGGGCGAAAGCCUGAUCCAGCAAUGCCGCGUGUGUGAAGAAGGCCUUCGGGUUGUAAAGCACUUUUGUCCGGAAAGAAAUCCUUGGCUCUAAUACAGUCGGGGGAUGACGGUACCGGAAGAAUAAGCACCGGCUAACUACGUGCCAGCAGCCGCGGUAAUACGUAGGGUGCAAGCGUUAAUCGGAAUUACUGGGCGUAAAGCGUGCGCAGGCGGUUUGCUAAGACCGAUGUGAAAUCCCCGGGCUCAACCUGGGAACUGCAUUGGUGACUGGCAGGCUAGAGUAUGGCAGAGGGGGGUAGAAUUCCACGUGUAGCAGUGAAAUGCGUAGAGAUGUGGAGGAAUACCGAUGGCGAAGGCAGCCCCCUGGGCCAAUACUGACGCUCAUGCACGAAAGCGUGGGGGAGCAAACAGGAUUAGAUACCCUGGUAGUCCACGCCCUAAACGAUGUCAACUAGUUGUUGGGGAUUCAUUCCUUAGUAACGUAGCUAACGCGUGAAGUUGACCGCCUGGGGAGUACGGUCGCAAGAUUAAAACUCAAAUGAAUUG
RNAcentral lists this ribosomal RNA (564 nucleotides) under uncultured bacterium. RNAcentral's name for it is "partial 16S ribosomal RNA". It matches the Rfam family "Bacterial small subunit ribosomal RNA", at positions 355 to 912 of the family's 1533-position model. The record is from RNAcentral.